CAUUUACAGUCUCCAGUGAAAAAUAUGUCUGACCAUGGAGAGAUAUUACCUUGCUUGGAAAUAGGGUUUUAGGUUGGUGACA
Molecule: long non-coding RNA, 82 nt
Organism: Octopus sinensis (East Asian common octopus)
Lineage: Eukaryota; Metazoa; Mollusca; Cephalopoda; Octopoda; Octopodidae
Exons: 3
Source: RefSeq, a predicted model, not a curated record